RNAcentral lists this ribosomal RNA (1372 nucleotides) under uncultured bacterium. RNAcentral's name for it is "bacterial SSU rRNA". It matches the Rfam family "Bacterial small subunit ribosomal RNA", at positions 28 to 1381 of the family's 1533-position model. The record is from RNAcentral.
GAUGAACGCUGGCGGCGUGCCUAAUACAUGCAAGUCGAGCGAACGGACGAGAAGCUUGCUUCUCUGAUGUUAGCGGCGGACGGGUGAGUAACACGUGGAUAACCUACCUAUAAGACUGGGAUAACUUCGGGAAACCGGAGCUAAUACCGGAUGAUAUUUUGAACCGCAUGGUUCAAAAGUGAAAGACGGUCUUGCUGUCACUUAUAGAUGGAUCCGCGCUGCAUUAGCUAGUUGGUAAGGUAACGGCUUACCAAGGCAACGAUGCAUAGCCGACCUGAGAGGGUGAUCGGCCACACUGGAACUGAGACACGGUCCAGACUCCUACGGGAGGCAGCAGUAGGGAAUCUUCCGCAAUGGGCGAAAGCCUGACGGAGCAACGCCGCGUGAGUGAUGAAGGUCUUCGGAUCGUAAAACUCUGUUAUUAGGGAAGAACAUAUGUGUAAGUAACUGUGCACAUCUUGACGGUACCUAAUCAGAAAGCCACGGCUAACUACGUGCCAGCAGCCGCGGUAAUACGUAGGUGGCAAGCGUUAUCCGGAAUUAUUGGGCGUAAAGCGCGCGUAGGCGGUUUUUUAAGUCUGAUGUGAAAGCCCACGGCUCAACCGUGGAGGGUCAUUGGAAACUGGAAAACUUGAGUGCAGAAGAGGAAAGUGGAAUUCCAUGUGUAGCGGUGAAAUGCGCAGAGAUAUGGAGGAACACCAGUGGCGAAGGCGACUUUCUGGUCUGUAACUGACGCUGAUGUGCGAAAGCGUGGGGAUCAAACAGGAUUAGAUACCCUGGUAGUCCACGCCGUAAACGAUGAGUGCUAAGUGUUAGGGGGUUUCCGCCCCUUAGUGCUGCAGCUAACGCAUUAAGCACUCCGCCUGGGGAGUACGACCGCAAGGUUGAAACUCAAAGGAAUUGACGGGGACCCGCACAAGCGGUGGAGCAUGUGGUUUAAUUCGAAGCAACGCGAAGAACCUUACCAAAUCUUGACAUCCUUUGACAACUCUAGAGAUAGAGCCUUCCCCUUCGGGGGACAAAGUGACAGGUGGUGCAUGGUUGUCGUCAGCUCGUGUCGUGAGAUGUUGGGUUAAGUCCCGCAACGAGCGCAACCCUUAAGCUUAGUUGCCAUCAUUAAGUUGGGCACUCUAAGUUGACUGCCGGUGACAAACCGGAGGAAGGUGGGGAUGACGUCAAAUCAUCGUGCCCCUUAUGAUUUGGGCUACACACGUGCUACAAUGGACAAUACAAAGGGCAGCGAAACCGCGAGGUCAAGCAAAUCCCAUAAAGUUGUUCUCAGUUCGGAUUGUAGUCUGCAACUCGACUACAUGAAGCUGGAAUCGCUAGUAAUCGUAGAUCAGCAUGCUACGGUGAAUACGUUCCCGGGUCU